This 292-nucleotide unclassified non-coding RNA is filed under the name Hevea brasiliensis (rubber tree). The record is from RNAcentral. Lineage: Eukaryota; Viridiplantae; Streptophyta; Magnoliopsida; Malpighiales; Euphorbiaceae.
GUAUGCCCAUGCGUGCAGCGACUAGGCCGUUAGAUUUCAGUGGCGAAAAAUUAAUACAAGCAGGCCUCGGCAACUGGUUAGAUGGAAAUCAGAUCAGGUGGUCCAUUUUCUAAAUUCUCUUUCGGUGAAUCAGCGUCCUGUCUAGUCAAGUCAAUCUUGUUAGGUUUGGGACUUCCGACAACAAAAUAUAAACUUUUAAAACGCUGUUUUCUACUUUUCCUUACACCGAAAAGCGUUUCCCUGCCCCCCAAUCGCAGCUCUGGUCUAUCAUGUACACGUUUCAGAUACCACG